UGGGGGAUAUUGGACAAUGGGGGGAACCCUGAUCCAGCGACGCCGCGUGAGUGAAGAAGUAUUUCGGUAUGUAAAGCUCUGUCAGCAGGGAAGAAAGCAAUGACGGUACCUGACCAAGAAGCCCCGGCUAACUACGUGCCAGCAGCCGCGGUAAUACGUAGGGGGCAAGCGUUAUCCGGAAUUACUGGGUGUAAAGGGAGCGUAGACGGUGAUGCAAGUCUGGAGUGAAAGCCCGGGGCCCAACCCCGGGACUGCUUUGGAAACUGUGUGACUGGAGUGCAGGAGAGGUAAGUGGAAUUCCUAGUGUAGCGGUGAAAUGCGUAGAUAUUAGGAGGAACACCAGUGGCGAAGGCGGCUUACUGGACCGUAACUGACGUUGAGGCUCGAAAGCGUGGGGAGCAAACAGG
Molecule: ribosomal RNA, 407 nt
Filed under: uncultured bacterium
Lineage: Bacteria
Description: bacterial SSU rRNA
Rfam family: Bacterial small subunit ribosomal RNA
Source: RNAcentral